CAGGUCACAAAGGGAAAACUAGACUUGCAAGUUGAAUGGAUAUUGAAAGCUGGACAUGACAGUAGAGAACCAGCCACUUAUUUCUACAGGCACAGCCUUAAGCUACUGACUUUCACGACUGGCUUACAUGACAUGAAGGGCCCUUCUACACGUGUGCAUAGAAACUGCUGAAGCUGUGAAGUCUGCUGGGUGCCUACAAUAUAGCCAUGACGAUAUCAAGCUAAAUAUUUUGAGAUGAGAAGACAGAAUUGGCCCCUCCUGGUUUCUGAUAAAUUCAGUCUUGGAUGACUAUGCCUACCUCUGCCAGCUGGUGGAUUAAAGCUGAAGUGAACUAGGAAUGAGA
Molecule: long non-coding RNA, 343 nt
Organism: Gallus gallus (chicken)
Lineage: Eukaryota; Metazoa; Chordata; Aves; Galliformes; Phasianidae
Exons: 3
Source: RefSeq, a predicted model, not a curated record